This 253-nucleotide ribosomal RNA is filed under the name uncultured bacterium. RNAcentral's name for it is "partial 16S ribosomal RNA". It matches the Rfam family "Bacterial small subunit ribosomal RNA", at positions 524 to 776 of the family's 1533-position model. The record is from RNAcentral.
UACGGGGGGGGCAAGCGUUGUUCGGAAUUACUGGGCGUAAAGGGUUCGUAGGCGGGAGCGUAAGUUCAGUGUGAAAUCCCCAGGCUUAACCUGGGACGUGCACUGAAGACUGCAUUUCUUGAGUGUUGGAGAGGGUUGUGGAAUUGCUGGUGUAGGAGUGAAAUCCGUAGAGAUCAGCAGGAACACCUGAGGCGAAGGCGACAACCUGGCCAAACACUGACGCUGAGGAACGAAAGCGUGGGGAGCGAACAGG